Molecule: ribosomal RNA, 484 nt
Filed under: uncultured bacterium
Lineage: Bacteria
Description: bacterial SSU rRNA
Rfam family: Bacterial small subunit ribosomal RNA
Source: RNAcentral
GGACGAACGCUGGCGGCGUGCCUAACACAUGCAAGUCGAGCGGGGACAUGGAAGUAGCAAUACGGAAAUGUUCUAGCGGCGGACGGGUGAGUAACGCGUGAGCAACCUGUCCCAGUCAGGGGGAUAACGAGCCGAAAGGCUCCCUAAUACCGCAUGAGACCACAGCAUCACAUGGUGCAGGGGUCAAAGGAGAGAUCCGGACUGGGGUGGGCUCGCGUCUGAUUAGCUAGUUGGUGAGGUAAAGGCCCACCAAGGCGACGAUCAGUAGCCGACCUGAGAGGGUGAUCGGCCACAUUGGAACUGAGACACGGUCCAAACUCCUACGGGAGGCAGCAGUGGGGAAUAUUGGGCAAUGGGGGAAACCCUGAACCCCAGCAACGCCGCGUGAAGGAAGAAGGUCUUCGGAUCGUAAACUUCUAUCCUUGGUGAAGAUAAUGACGGUAGCCGAGAAGGAAGCCCCGGCUAACUACGUGCCAGCAGCUGC